Molecule: non-coding RNA, 1542 nt
Organism: Rattus norvegicus (Norway rat)
Lineage: Eukaryota; Metazoa; Chordata; Mammalia; Rodentia; Muridae
Source: RefSeq, a predicted model, not a curated record
GCGGCAAGAUUGCUUUUGGUGGUAUUCCUCUUCAGCUAGCUGGCUCUGAAGCCAGCUCCACUUAGGCAGAGCUCAAAACCAGUCUUCUUAACUGGAAGGCUCCAAGUUCGCUUAGUGCAUUUCUUUUUGCUGCGUGUCCAGUGUACAAAAAUCACACUUGAUCAUGUGUGCAUGUGGUGCUAGGAUCAAAGCAAGAGCCUCCUCAGGUAUGCUGGGCGAACUGUCUACUGCUGAGUUCUCUCUCCAGAUGAAAAGAAUACUUUUUGUAUGGCGUUUAAAAUUCUCCAAAUCACUAUUAUACGUGAUUCUCAUUCAGUUUUCUUUCUUUCUUUCUUUCUUUCUUUCUUUCUUUCUUUCUUUCUUUUUUUUUUUUUUUUUUUUUGGUUCUUUUUUUUGGAGCUGGGGACCGAACCCAGGGCCUUGCGCUUCCUAGGCAAGCGCUCUACCACUGAGCUAAAUCCCCAACCCUCUUUUUUUUUUUUUUAAAGAUGUAUCUAUUUUUUUUUUCGGAGCUGAGAACUGAACCCAGGGCCUUGCGCUUACUAGGCGAGCGCUCUACCACUGAGCUAAAUCCCCAACCCCAAUGUAUUUAUUUUCUGUGAGUACACUGUCACUGUCCAGACACACCAGAAGAGGGCAUCGGAUCUCAUUACAGAUGGUUGUGAGCCACCAUGUGGCUGCUGGGACUUGAACUCAGGUCCUCUGGAAGAGCGAGCAGUCAGUGCUCUUAACCUCUGAGCCAUGUCUCCAGCCCCUAUCUCAUCUUUUUUUAUACUCAAAUGUUUAAAGAAACCUAACUCCAAUACCUCCACUCAUAAAUGGAAGCAGAAAUGAACCGGGUCGUGGCAACAUCAUUAUCUAAACAUACAGACUCCCAGUGCAGUAAAGAGACCCGCAGAGGAUAGAAUGAAAAUCUAGGAUCAGCUUCUAUCUUAUACUUUACCAAGCAUCAAGAACCGCUGUGUGUAGCAGGAAUCAGAAAGAGACCAGAAGGAAGACAAAGGGCAAACAAGGCAUGAGAUCAGUAUAGACAUACAUAGCCACAUAGCCCAAGGGAAAGGGGGCAUAACAGGAAACGUAUAUAAUGUCCAUUCACUGAAUAUACCCAGUGAGCUUGCCUUUAAAAUAUAAUCAUGGGAGCUGGGCGUGGUGACACAUGCCUUUCAUCCCGACAGGUUGAUCUCUCAUUUGAGACCAGCCUGGAUUACAGGACUACACAGAAAAGUCCUGUCUCGAAGGGAGGUAAGAUAGAUAGAUAGAUAGAUAGAUAGAUAGAUAGAUAGAUAGAUAGAUAGACAGACAGACUGAUUUAUUUCACCAUGGAAAUAAUAUAUAGCAAAUACAACAUUCAGUAAAUGUCAGAAUAUGCACGAAGACUAUGAAGAUCUUAGGAAUUCAUAGGCAUCAAGUCAAGUUGAGCUGGAAUUAGUCUGAUAAGAGGAGCUUAAUCCAGAUCUCGCUAAGACUUGAGGGGCCGGAGAGACGGCUUGGUGGUUAAGAGCACAGGUUCUGUUACAGAAGACCCAGGUUUGAUUCCCAGCA